AACACUUUAUUCAAGGUACAAUAUUCCAUGAGCACAAGCUACUAUUCACAAAGAAUCUUCUCAAGGGGACAAAAAGAUAACUUGGAUAUAAUCCACUAAUCACAAAGCAUCUUCUCAAGGAGACAAAAGAUGUCUUGGAUCGAUGAAAUCUACUAUUAACAAAAGAAUCUUCCCAAGAAAAGAGAAGACAAGUCUUGGACUCAUGUGAGGAAUCAAAGAACCAUCCAUUGAAGAUCCAAGGGUGGACAAGUGAUGACCAAGGCUAUAAAUAAAGGGGUAACACUCUCAUUUUCGUUCACCACACCUAAAGCAUUUCAAAGAGCUUCCAAAAAUUCUCAAGUGUUCUAGCUUUCCAAAGCUUCAAAAGCUUCUCAACUUCUUCUUCUAAUCCUCUUGUUCAUCUUUACAAGUAAGAAGUUUUGUGUGUUUAAUAUUCCACUCCUCUAAUCAUCUCUUGUGUGUGUCUACUUUGCUUGAGAGGUUUGUCUCAAUAUCACCAAAGUAUGAGAGAAAGUUUUUGAGCUAGCUCAACCAUAAAGCUCUAAGUUUGGUUCUAUAGAGCAAUAAAUUUUAGACCAAAACGACCAGAACCAAUAGAGCAAAAAAAUUUAGGGGACCAGUUCGAUGAAGAACAUCGAAGAAAGUGGACUAAGAGAUUGAGGCAACCAGAUGCACCAACUCCCGCCAC
Molecule: long non-coding RNA, 688 nt
Filed under: Zostera marina
Lineage: Eukaryota; Viridiplantae; Streptophyta; Magnoliopsida; Alismatales; Zosteraceae
Description: long non-coding RNA (ZMAR_LNC004480)
Source: RNAcentral